Molecule: non-coding RNA, 45 nt
Filed under: Schistosoma margrebowiei
Lineage: Eukaryota; Metazoa; Platyhelminthes; Trematoda; Strigeidida; Schistosomatidae
Source: RNAcentral
AUCUAGUUGACGAGUUCCAAAUAGGAUGAAACGCCCGUUCUGGAU